UGGGGAAUAUUGCACAAUGGGCGCAAGCCUGAUGCAGCCAUGCCGCGUGUGUGAAGAAGGCCUUCGGGUUGUAAAGCACUUUCAGCGGGGAGGAAGGCGUUAAGGUUAAUAACCUUGGCGAUUGACGUUACCCGCAGAAGAAGCACCGGCUAACUCCGUGCCAGCAGCCGCGGUAAUACGGAGGGUGCAAGCGUUAAUCGGAAUUACUGGGCGUAAAGCGCACGCAGGCGGUCUGUCAAGUCGGAUGUGAAAUCCCCGGGCUCAACCUGGGAACUGCAUUCGAAACUGGCAGGCUAGAGUCUUGUAGAGGGGGGUAGAAUUCCAGGUGUAGCGGUGAAAUGCGUAGAGAUCUGGAGGAAUACCGGUGGCGAAGGUGGCCCCCUGGACAAAGACUGACGCUCAGGUGCGAAAGCGUGGGGAGCAAACAGG
RNAcentral lists this ribosomal RNA (429 nucleotides) under Chloroflexota bacterium. Its description in RNAcentral is "Chloroflexi bacterium partial 16S ribosomal RNA". It matches the Rfam family "Bacterial small subunit ribosomal RNA", at positions 355 to 776 of the family's 1533-position model. The record is from RNAcentral. Lineage: Bacteria; Bacillati; Chloroflexota.